GUGCUUCGAUUUGUUGAAUAUGAUUAGCUUAACAUAUGUAAAUGUGUUGAGUAAUGGUGAAUUGAAGCUAUAGAAAAUGAUCCCCUCGCUAUCCGGUGAUUUGAUUUAGAUGGAUCAUUUGGACGUUGGGGAACUAUAUUU
This is a small nucleolar RNA of Impatiens glandulifera, 141 nucleotides long. RefSeq annotates it as small nucleolar RNA snoR136. The transcript has a single exon. Lineage: Eukaryota; Viridiplantae; Streptophyta; Magnoliopsida; Ericales; Balsaminaceae. The record is from RefSeq and is a predicted model, not a curated record.